CUAUAAAAACUUCACAUCAGACUGUCAGUGGAGUUCACAGCACGUCAGUUUCACUGUAAACCAUGUUCUCUGUAGCUCUGCUGCUGCUGUUGGCAGCUGGAUCCUAUGUGAAGUGUGAACAGUUGACACAACCUGCCUCUGUGACUGUGCAGCCAGGUCAACGUCUGACCAUCACCUGUCAGGUUUCUUAUUCUGUUAGCAGCUACUUUACAGCUUGGAUCAGACAGCCUGCAGGGAAAGGACUGGAGUGGAUUGGAAGUGGAGCUACUGGAGCUUCAUACUACAAAGAUUCACUAAAGAACAAGUUCAGUAUCGACUUUGACUCUUCCAGCAACACAGUGACUCUAAACGGACAGAAUGUGCAGCCUGAAGACACUGCUGUGUAUUACUGUGCCAGAGACCCACAAUAACACAAACCAUCAGUAGAUCAGUGCCUGAACACUUGUAACAUGAAGCCACCAGAGGAGGAGCCCUCAGACCACAAAUGAAUUCAGACCAGUUCACUGUUGCAGUAAAGGGGAAAUUAUUUUUAUAAAAGAUUCUUAAUUUAAUAUAACAGUAACUAUUUCCAUCAAUUUAAAUACUCUGAUUUUAAAAUCACUGGUACAUUACUGUCUGUAUUCCCGCAGUAAAACACAAUUAAAAAUUCGAGUAA
Xiphias gladius (swordfish) is the source of this 655-nucleotide non-coding RNA. The record is from the annotation of a RefSeq genome assembly. Lineage: Eukaryota; Metazoa; Chordata; Actinopteri; Istiophoriformes; Xiphiidae.